UUGGGUUAAGUCCCGUAAACGAGCGCAACCCUUGUCCUUAAGUACCCAGCACGUAAAUGGUGGGAACUCUAAGGAGACUGCCGGUGACAAACCGGAGGAAGGUGGGGAUGACGUCAAGUCAUCAUGGCCCUUACGGCCAGGGCUACACACGUGCUACAAUGGUCGGUACAAAGGGUUGCCAAGCCGCGAGGUGGAGCUAAUCCCAUAAAACCGAUCGUAGUCCGGAUCGCAGUCUGCAACUCGACUGCGUGAAGUCGGAAUCGCUAGUAAUCGUGAAUCAGAAUGUCACGGUGAAUACGUUCCCGGGCCUUGUACACACCGCCCGUCACAUCAUGGGAGUGGGUUGCACCAGAAGUAGCUAGUCUAACCGCAAGGGGGACGGUUACCACGGUGUGAUUCAUGACUGGGGUGAAGUCGUAACAAGGUAACCGUA
RNAcentral lists this ribosomal RNA (433 nucleotides) under uncultured bacterium. RNAcentral's name for it is "bacterial SSU rRNA". It matches the Rfam family "Bacterial small subunit ribosomal RNA", at positions 1075 to 1504 of the family's 1533-position model. The record is from RNAcentral.